This 527-nucleotide ribosomal RNA is filed under the name uncultured bacterium. RNAcentral's name for it is "bacterial SSU rRNA". It matches the Rfam family "Bacterial small subunit ribosomal RNA", at positions 28 to 545 of the family's 1533-position model. The record is from RNAcentral.
AACGAACGCUGGCGGCGUGCUUAACACAUGCAAGUCGAACGCGAAAGUCCCUUCGGGGGCAAGUAGAGUGGCGCACGGGUGAGUAACGCGUAGGAACGUACCUAAGGGUGGGGAAUAACCACGGGAAACCGUGGCUAAUACCGCAUAAUAUCGCAAGAUCAAAGGAGGCCUCUACUUGUAAGCUUCCGCCGUUAGAGCGGCCUACGUCCUAUUAGCUAGUUGGUAGGGUAAAAGCCUACCAAGGCGAUGAUGGGUAACUGGUCUGAGAGGAUGAUCAGUCACACUGGAACUGAGACACGGUCCACGACUCCUACGGGAGGCAGCAGUGGGGAAUCUUGCACAAUGGGCGAAAGCCUGAUGCAGCAACGCCGCGUGGGUGAAGAAGGUUUUCGGAUUGUAAAGCCCUUUCGGCUGGGAAGAAGGGCGAAGUGGUUAAUACCCACCUCGUCUGACGGUACCAGAAUAAGAAGCACCGGCUAAUUCCGUGCCAGCAGCCGCGGUAAUACGGAAGGUGCAAGCGUUGUUAC